UAUCAGUCAUGCAUAGCAUAUCAAUAAGCGGAGGAAAAGAAACUAACAAGGAUUCCCUUAGUAACGGCGAGUGAAGCGGGAAGAGCUCAAAUUUGAAAUCUUCAAGGUUCUACCUUGACGAAUUGUAGUUUAUAGAAGUGUUUUCUGUUAGUAGAGUGGCAAAAGUUCUUUGGAAUAGGACAUCAUAGAGGGUGAGAAUCCCGUAUUUGGUCAUUCUUUCUAGCUUUGUGAUACACUUUCAACGAGUCGGAUUGUUUGGGAAUGCAGUCCAAAAUGGGUGGUAAAUUUCAUCUAAAGCUAAAUAUUGGCGAGAGACCGAUAGCGAACAAGUACCGUGAGGGAAAGAUGAAAAGAACUUUGAAAAGAGAGUUAAACAGUACGUGAAAUUGUCAAAAGGGAAGCGUUUGACACCAGUGUUGUUUUUUCCGAAAAUCAAUUACGAAUGUUUUGUUUUUAAGAAGUUAUGACUUCAUCGGCUUGCUUCUUUCUUUACGAAACUUUCUUAAUGCACUUUUCGGUUAACAAGUCAACAUCAAUUUCUUUUGUUGUAAAAGGGUAUGAGGAAGGUGGCUUUCUUUUCGGAGAAAGUGUUUAUAGCCUUGUGCCUCUGCAAUCGGAGAGAUUGAGGUCUGCAGCGUAGAUCCUUCGGGGUUAGAUACGUUUGUGCUAAGUUAUAGCUUUUCAUAGACAACUUGUUGACUAUGUUUAGUCUUGUAGCUUACUCGCUGACGCUAUAUUACCUACGCUUAGGAUGUUGACGAGACUGUCGAUCUCAUCUAUACAUGACUCUGCGCAUAUCAAUAAGCGGAGGAAAAGUCAACGUACCUACGCUUAGGAUGUUGACGAGACUGUCGAUCUCAUCUAUACAUGACUCUGCGCAUAUCAAUAAGCGGAGGAAAAAUGAGUAUACCUACGCUUAGGAUGUUGACACACGCGCGUGCUCG
RNAcentral lists this ribosomal RNA (944 nucleotides) under uncultured Neocallimastigales. Its description in RNAcentral is "partial large subunit ribosomal RNA". It matches the Rfam family "Eukaryotic large subunit ribosomal RNA", at positions 22 to 643 of the family's 3401-position model. Lineage: Eukaryota; Fungi; Neocallimastigomycota; Neocallimastigomycetes; Neocallimastigales. The record is from RNAcentral.